This is an RNA transcript of Uranotaenia lowii, 855 nucleotides long. It is a transcript of the gene named twist-related protein 1-like, with no coding region annotated. NCBI's taxonomy places the organism in Eukaryota, Metazoa, Arthropoda, Insecta, Diptera, Culicidae. The transcript is spliced from 3 exons. The record is from RefSeq and is a predicted model, not a curated record.
AAGACAAUUUCGUUUAGAGGCGAAUGAUGUCUUGAAGUGUGAUUUUGCCAGCAAACAGCAGGAGAGAUUUAUAUCGAGAUUCAUUCAACAUCCGCGAUUUGUUCCAUCGAGGAUUUUCGUGUGGCUUAAAUUCGAAUUCGAAAAACAUUAGCACUAGUGAGAUGCUGUGUGGUCUAGAUAAUAGAAUCGUGUGGCUUUGAAUAGUGGAUCCGUCCGUGAUUGAUCUGGUUGAGACAUUUUUUGGAAUCCGUCGUAUAAAGGAAGGCAGAAAAAGAGAGCGGCUAUCGAGUACAAAAAUAAUAUACCAAGUCAAAUAGCUGUGAACAAACAUCAGUAAAAAGCACAGUACUCUCUUGGAUUGGAAUAUAUGUGGAGCAGUGUUGCCGUCAACAACAAAACUUGCUGAAUAAAAUACCAUCGCGCAGUGUUGUAGUUGGAGUUCGGUUCUAUUCGUCUUAUGCUCAGUGAUAGCGCUGAAGCGUGUUGAUUAGUAGUGAUAGAGAUCAAAACAAACCACAUUGUUAGUAUAAAAAGUUGGCUGAAAGUAGUGCGUAAUAGAAUAUAAAGUAAGAUAUAGAAAAGGAGGAAAUUCAAAGUGUGCGGAGAGUGUUGGUGUUCAUAUUCUGAAAUCUGUUAUUAACGGUGCAUCGUAAUGUAUUGUUCGAUGGAUAAAAGCCAAUCGGCGGGAGUUGUGGGUGGUGGAAGCAGUGGCAGUCGUGAUGGAAUCAGCACCAGCUGCGGCGGAAGUGGAAGUGGAGGAGGUGGUGGUGGUAGUGUAGGAAGUGGCAAUGGAAACACCACACCCUCCCAGCAUCAGCAGCAGCAACAACAGCAGAGCAAAACGAAAACUUCUAA